UAGAGUUUGAUCCUGGCUCAGAUUGAACGCUGGCGGCAGGCCUAACACAUGCAAGUCGAACGGUAACAGGAAACAGCUUGCUGUUUCGCUGACGAGUGGCGGACGGGUGAGUAAUGUCUGGGAAACCGCCUGAUGGAGGGGGAUAACUACUGGAAACGGUAGCUAAUACCGCAUAACGUCGCAAGACUAAAGAGGGGGACCUUCGGGCCUCUUGCCAUCAGAUGUGCCCAGAUGGGAUUAGCUAGUAGGUGGGGUAACGGCUCACCUAGGCGACGAUCCCUAGCUGGUCUGAGAGGAUGACCAGCCACACUGGAACUGAGACACGGUCCAGACUCCUACGGGAG
This 344-nucleotide ribosomal RNA is filed under the name uncultured Escherichia sp. RNAcentral describes it as "bacterial SSU rRNA". It matches the Rfam family "Bacterial small subunit ribosomal RNA", at positions 1 to 347 of the family's 1533-position model. Lineage: Bacteria; Pseudomonadati; Pseudomonadota; Gammaproteobacteria; Enterobacterales; Enterobacteriaceae. The record is from RNAcentral.